ACCUGCAGCAGGGAGGGAGGAAAGGAAGUGGUGUCCCGAGGGGCCAGGGCCCUUGGCAUGGAGCUUAUCCCAUAAAUGCUUUUGGACCUAUCUACAGGAAACUCCUGGAGAAGGUCACUGCCAGAGCUGGCUGCUGAGCAGAGUGUUCCUGAGAGCCCAGGCAGUCAGUCAGGGCAGGCAGAACCCAGGAAAAUAUAUCUUCAAGCUGUGGUGCUUAGGAAUUCAUCUGCUCUACACUCUUUUGGCUAAAUCGGGGAAUCCAAGCCUGCAAAAAGCUCCAGUCUUUUGAGAGGUACUGAGGAUGUUCUGGCACAGAAACUCAUCUUCAGUGCCUUUCACUGGGGAGUAUCUGGGUAAGGUCUGGCAGGUCACGAGUAAGAAUGGAUGCAGAGGUCACAGCUGCUGCAAAGGCUGCCACAUGUUUUCCAGCUGCCUGCUGAAUCCAGGAGGUGGUACCAGGAAAUUGCAGUCAUUGUCUCUGCCACAUUCCUGGAAUCCCUUCAGCAAACUGCGAUGCCAAAGCUCCAAGACUGGAUGGAUAAUACCAGAUCCACUGAAGCCCCAGAGUGGUUCAGAACAAGGCUUUGAUCUUUGAGGUGCUGGUGACCUGUAAGAGGAGCAGGAGCAGGGCACCAAGUAAGCCCGCAUUCACUGGAGCCAUGAAUUCUCCUCUGUACAUUGAAAUAAAUGUAUUUUUUUAAAAUAUUGCCUUUGACAGGCUUGCCUGAGUCAUAUGAUGGUCUAAGUUAAGGGGAUAAAUAAUGAGCAUUGUCAUACUGAAGUUUUAUGACUGAUAGAAAACUUGGAAUUUAAAAAAAACCCUCAAGAAUUGUCUUUAUUACUCAGUCUAUGCCUUCACCUUUACUCUGAAAAAAUACAAGGAAUUCAUCUUUUCUGUAAAAGAAAAUGUCAUCAUUAAUACAAUCAUCUCCUUUUCCCCAUCACCUUUAUACCUUGAACUGUGUCAUUCCACGCUUGGUUGAGAAUUUUGGUGAACAGCAGUUAAUAAGCCCAGCAAGCAUAAGAACACCUUAAAUGAGAUCACCUACUUGGAAGGGGAAGGAGAAUCUGUAAAACUGCAAUUAUACUUCAAAUGAUGCUUUCAAGACCCACAGUUAAAAUGAAUCAUUAAUAAACUAUUUUUUCCAGUUGUACCAAAAAUCACCGGAAUUUUGAAUGCAAGGUAGCAAAAGGUCUUUGGUUAUAAACAAACUUCGUGUUUUCAGACCAAAGCACAGUUCCCUCAUUUUUCCAGCAUCUUCUUUGGGUACAACAGAGAUGGCUCAUUAUGCUGGUAUAGUUUAUGUGAUGGAGGGUGAUGUUUGUACCAGCAGUACAGAGGCUUUAUUUCCAGAAAAAAAUAAUGUGUCAACCAUACCUGCUCAUCAGAGAAACCUGAAGAGCUCAAACCCCAACCCGUAGUGCUUGCAUUUCUGUCUGCAGAACAUCAGCUACCAAAAUCCACACAGAUCUGCUCUCAGACAAAAGACAGGCAGGGCUGCUCCCUGUGCAGGGAUCAGCCCAGGAAGACUGAAGGUGAUUAAUUAGGAGCUGAGAGAGGAAACUUCUCAGAAACUUCAGAAACUGGUGCUGCUUAAUGAACCUGUUUGAUACCAAACACAAGACUGCUGGUGGACCAAGCCUGAAGACUCAGCUACUCAUCAUUCUGAACUGGCUUGGCUUUUGGAAGGACUCCACUGACAGACAGGGAAAACAGAGAACCACCACAAAGUAAGAAAAGGAAAGAAAUGGAGGAAACUGAACCAUGGAAUCUGCCAAGUUGGAAGGGAUCAUUCAGUCCAGCUCCUGGCCCCAACAGUCCCACCCUGUGCCUGACCAGAGCAGUGUCCAAACACUCCCUGAACUCUGUCAGGUUUGGUGGUGUUACCGCUGCCCUGGGAAACCUGUUCCAGUGCCCAAUCACCCUCUGGGGGAAGAACCUUUUCCUCACACCCAAACUAAACCCGGAAACCCUGACCCAGCUUCCAGCUUCAGGUCCUGUCACUGGUCAGCAGAGUGAAAAGAUCAGUGCCUGCCCAUCCUCUUCCCCUCCUGAGGAUUCUGAAGACCCCAACGAGUCUCC
Molecule: long non-coding RNA, 2083 nt
Organism: Motacilla alba alba
Lineage: Eukaryota; Metazoa; Chordata; Aves; Passeriformes; Motacillidae
Exons: 3
Source: RefSeq, a predicted model, not a curated record